Non-coding RNA from Paramuricea clavata, 104 nucleotides. The record is from the annotation of a GenBank genome assembly. NCBI's taxonomy places the organism in Eukaryota, Metazoa, Cnidaria, Anthozoa, Malacalcyonacea, Plexauridae.
AUUUUAUUUCAUCUCUACACAGUGUUUCACGUACAGCGUACGAUCAUCAAUCGCCUGAUGAUCGUACGCUGUACGUGAAACACUGUGUAGCGAUGAAAUAAAAU